This 470-nucleotide ribosomal RNA is filed under the name Dianema longibarbis (porthole catfish). RNAcentral describes it as "partial 16S ribosomal RNA". It matches the Rfam family "Bacterial large subunit ribosomal RNA", at positions 1850 to 2543 of the family's 2925-position model. Lineage: Eukaryota; Metazoa; Chordata; Actinopteri; Siluriformes; Callichthyidae. The record is from RNAcentral.
AGGUCCCACCUGCCCGGUGUAAAAACGGCCGCGGUAUUUUGACCGUGCAAAGGUAGCGCAAUCACUUGUCUUUUAAAUGAAGACCCGUAUGAAUGGUUAAACGAGGGCUUAACUGUCUCCCUUCUCCAGUCAAUGAAAUUGAUUUACCCGUGCAGAAGCGGGUAUAAACUUACAAGACGAGAAGACCCUUUGGAGCUUAAGACAAAAGAUCACUUAUGUUAAGUAUUUUAAAACUAAAUAAUCCUUGAUCAUAGUCUUCGGUUGGGGCGACCGCGGGAUAAAAUAAAACUCCCGCAAGGACUGAAGAAACCCUUUAAAACCAAGAAAGACAUUUCUAAGUCACAGAAUUUCUGACCACAAAGAUCCGGCCCGCCGAUCAACGAACCAAGUUACCCUAGGGAUAACAGCGCAAUCCCCUUUUAGAGUUCCUAUCGACAAGGGGGUUUACGACCUCGAUGUUGGAUCAGGAC